This 393-nucleotide ribosomal RNA is filed under the name uncultured bacterium. RNAcentral describes it as "partial 16S ribosomal RNA". It matches the Rfam family "Bacterial small subunit ribosomal RNA", at positions 523 to 918 of the family's 1533-position model. The record is from RNAcentral.
AUACGGAGGAUGCAAGCGUUAUCCGGAUUUAUUGGGUUUAAAGGGUGCGUAGGCGGAUGAUUAAGCGUGAGGUGAAAUGCCACUGCUCAACAGUGGAACUGCCUCGUGAACUGGUUGUCUUGAAUGCUCCUGCCGUGGGAGGAAUGUGUGGUGUAGCGGUUAAAUGCAUAGAGAUCACACAGAACACCGAUUGCGAAGGCAUCUCACGAAGGGUUGAUUGACGCUGAGGCACGAAAGCGUGGGGAUCAAACAGGAUUAGAUACCCUGGUAGUCCACGCAGUAAACGAUGAUGGCUAACCGCUGGGCUUAUCAGUUCAGUGGCCAAGCGAAAGCGAUAAGCCAUCCACCUGGGGAGUACGACCGCAAGGUUGAAACUCAAAUGAAUUGGCGGGG